GCUGGCGGCAUGCCUAACACAUGCAAGUCGAACGGUAACAGGCCGCUGGGAUCCCUUCGGGGUGACCUUGGCGCUGACGAGUGGCGGACGGGUGAGUAAUGCGUAGGAAUUUGCCUCAAAGUGGGGGAUAGCCCGAAGAAAUUCGGAUUAAUACCGCAUGUGCUCUACGGAGGAAAGCGGGCCUCUACUUGUAAGCUCGCGCUUUGAGAUAAGCCUACGUCGGAUUAGCUUGUUGGUGGGGUAAUGGCCUACCAAGGCGACGAUCCGUAGCUGGUCUGAGAGGAUGAUCAGCCACACUGGGACUGAGACACGGCCCAGACUCCUACGGGAGGCAGCAGUGGGGAAUAUUGGACAAUGGGCGCAAGCCUGAUCCAGCAAUGCCGCGUGUGUGAAGAAGGCCUGCGGGUUGUAAAGCACUUUUAUCAGGAAAGAAAAUCUCGGGGCUAAUACCCCCGGGCCUUGACGGUACCUGAAGAAUAAGCACCGGCUAACUCCGUG
Molecule: ribosomal RNA, 498 nt
Filed under: uncultured bacterium
Lineage: Bacteria
Description: bacterial SSU rRNA
Rfam family: Bacterial small subunit ribosomal RNA
Source: RNAcentral